Molecule: ribosomal RNA, 392 nt
Filed under: uncultured bacterium
Lineage: Bacteria
Description: partial 16S ribosomal RNA
Rfam family: Bacterial small subunit ribosomal RNA
Source: RNAcentral
AUACGGAGGAUCCGAGCGUUAUCCGGAUUUAUUGGGUUUAAAGGGUGCGCAGGCGGCCAUUUAAGUCAGCGGUUAAAUCGUGGGGCUCAACCCCAUUCUGCCGUUGAUACUGGGUGGCUUGAUUGCGGUCGAGGUUGGCGGAAUUCGUUGUGUAGCGGUGAAAUGCAUAGAUAUGACGAAGAACACCGAUUGCGUAGGCAGCUGACCAGACCGCAAAUGACGCUCAUGCACGAAAGUGCGGGGAUCGAACAGGAUUAGAUACCCUGGUAGUCCGCACAGUAAACGAUGAAUACUUCUUUUCGGCGAUAUAAUGUCGGAGGCAAAGCGAAAGCGAUAAGUAUUCCACCUGGGGAGUACGCCGGCAACGGUGAAACUCAAAUGAAUUGACGGGG